This 404-nucleotide ribosomal RNA is filed under the name bacterium. RNAcentral describes it as "partial 16S ribosomal RNA". It matches the Rfam family "Bacterial small subunit ribosomal RNA", at positions 355 to 776 of the family's 1533-position model. The record is from RNAcentral.
UGGGGAAUCUUGCGCAAUGGGCGAAAGCCUGACGCAGCCAUGCCGCGUGAAUGAUGAAGGUCUUAGGAUUGUAAAAUUCUUUCACCGGGGACGAUAAUGACGGUACCCGGAGAAGAAGCCCCGGCUAACUUCGUGCCAGCAGCCGCGGUAAUACGAAGGGGGCUAGCGUUGCUCGGAAUUACUGGGCGUAAAGGGCGCGUAGGCGGAUCGUUAAGUCAGAGGUGAAAUCCCAGGGCUCAACCCUGGAACUGCCUUUGAUACUGGCGAUCUUGAGUAUGAGAGAGGUAUGGGGAACUCCGAGUGUAGAGGUGAAAUUCGUAGAUAUUCGGAAGAACACCAGUGGCGAAGGCGACAUACUGGCUCAUUACUGACGCUGAGGCGCGAAAGCGUGGGGAGCAAACAGG